ACUUGUUCAUUUUAUCAUUGGCCAUGUCUGUUACUGUCACAGAAACUUAACUGAACUUGUAUAGUUUUUCAUCAAGUUUUGAAAUUUUAGUCAUCAGGAAAUUAACCAACUACAUACAGUGUUUUCAAUGAUUCACAUAAAAGGUGAAUGAAGUCUAAGUUUUUGCUAUCCAAGACUUAUACCAAAUAAAUAAUUUUUUCCCUAUGUUCUCUCAAACUCCAUG
Molecule: unclassified non-coding RNA, 223 nt
Filed under: Hevea brasiliensis (rubber tree)
Lineage: Eukaryota; Viridiplantae; Streptophyta; Magnoliopsida; Malpighiales; Euphorbiaceae
Source: RNAcentral